This 578-nucleotide ribosomal RNA is filed under the name uncultured bacterium. Its description in RNAcentral is "bacterial SSU rRNA". It matches the Rfam family "Bacterial small subunit ribosomal RNA", at positions 338 to 916 of the family's 1533-position model. The record is from RNAcentral.
CCUACGGGAGGCAGCAGUAAGGAAUAUUGGUCAAUGGACGGAAGUCUGAACCAGCCAUCCCGCGUGCAGGAUGACUGCCCUAUGGGUUGUAAACUGCUUUUAGCAGAGACGAAACGCCUUCAUUUAUGAGGGUCUGACGGUAUCUGCAGAAUAAGCACCGGCUAACUCCGUGCCAGCAGCCGCGGUAAUACGGAGGGUGCAAGCGUUAUCCGGAAUCACUGGGUUUAAAGGGUGCGUAGGCGGAUAUUUAAGUCAGUGGUGAAAUCUUGUCGCUUAACGAUAAAAUUGCCAUCGAUACUGAAUGUCUUGAAUUGGGUUGAGGUUAGCGGAAUGUGACAUGUAGCGGUGAAAUGCAUAGAUAUGUCAUGGAACACCAAUUGCGAAGGCAGCUAGCUGGGCCUUGAUUGACGCUGAGGCACGAAAGCGUGGGUAGCGAACAGGAUUAGAUACCCUGGUAGUCCACGCCCUAAACGAUGCUAACUCGAUGUUUGGACGUAAGUUUGAGCAUCCAAGGGAAACCGAUAAGUUAGCCACCUGGGGAGUACGACCGCAAGGUUGAAACUCAAAUGAAUUGACGG